RNAcentral lists this ribosomal RNA (324 nucleotides) under Triticum aestivum (bread wheat). Its description in RNAcentral is "partial small subunit ribosomal RNA". Lineage: Eukaryota; Viridiplantae; Streptophyta; Magnoliopsida; Poales; Poaceae. The record is from RNAcentral.
AUGGCAGCUGAGUCGUCGGCGGUGGCCGGCAUGCGGAAGGCGCCCGCCAUUGAGUGGCGGUGGGUGUCCGCGGGGGAGGAGGAGGACGACAAGCUGGAGGGCCUGCGGCCGUCGGGGCGGCGGGAAGGGGCUGCAGCUUCGAGUCCCAGGACGAGGAGGACAACGUCGACUACGAGGACGAGGACGAGGAGCACCGGGAGGCCAGGAAACUCCUGUCACGCACGGCCACCGCCCAACUGCCUCGCGGCCACCCCCGUCCGCUGGUGGCGUUCUUUGUGCCUCCAAUCGAUGGCGAUGAACCAUGCCUUUUUCAUGGUGCAAUGA